RNAcentral lists this ribosomal RNA (1436 nucleotides) under metagenome. RNAcentral's name for it is "bacterial LSU rRNA". It matches the Rfam family "Bacterial large subunit ribosomal RNA", at positions 1461 to 2925 of the family's 2925-position model. The record is from RNAcentral.
GAACUGUGGGGACGCAGAAGGAGAGCACUACCUGGAAUGGAAUCCAGGGGCAAGCACAGGAGGGGUACGGCUGGAAAAACCGCCGUGCAACCCAAAGGUGUGACGCAUACCGAACUAAAGUAGGGAAAUGUGUGAGCCGGCUGCCGAGAAAAGCCGCUAUUGUUUGUACUGUACCCGUACCGUAAACCGACACAGGUGGAUGAGGAGAGAAUCCUAAGGCCGACGGAAGAAGCAUUGCUAAGGAACUCGGCAAAAUGACCCUGUAACUUCGGGAGAAAGGGUGCCUCGAAAGAGGCCGCAGAGAAUAGGCCCAAGCAACUGUUUAGCAAAAACACAGGUCUAUGCAAAACCGCAAGGUGAAGUAUAUGGGCUGACGCCUGCCCGGUGCUGGAAGGUUAAGGGGAGAUGUCAGGAGACGAAGCAUCGAACUUAAGCCCCAGUAAACGGCGGCCGUAACUAUAACGGUCCUAAGGUAGCGAAAUUCCUUGUCGGGUAAGUUCCGACCCGCACGAAAGGCGUAAUGAUUUGGGCGCUGUCUCGGCAAUGCAUCCGGUGAAAUUGAAGUGCCAGUGAAGAUGCUGGCUACCCGCGCCAGGACGGAAAGACCCCAUGGAGCUUUACUCCAGCUUGAUACUGGGAUUCGGUAUUGUAUGUACAGGAUAGGUGGGAGGCUGAGAAAUGGUGACGCCAGUCGCCAUGGAGCCGCUGUUGGGAUACCACCCUUGCAGUACUGGAUUUCUAACCAGCAGCCGUGAUCCGGCUGGGGGACAAUGUCAGGUGGGGAGUUUGACUGGGGCGGUCGCCUCCGAAAGGGUAUCGGAGGCGCUCAAAGGUUCCCUCAGAAUGGUCGGAAACCAUUCGAAGAGUGCAAAGGCAGAAGGGAGCUUGACUGCGACACCGACGGGUGGGGCAGGUACGAAAGUAGGACUUAGUGAUCCGGUGGUAUUAAGUGGGAAUGCCAUCGCUCAACGGAUAAAAGCUACCCUGGGAUAACAGGCUUAUCACUCCCAAGAGUUCACAUCGACGGAGUGGUUUGGCACCUCGAUGUCGGCUCAUCGCAUCCUGGGGCUGUAGUAGGUCCCAAGGGUUGGGCUGUUCGCCCAUUAAAGCGGUACGCGAGCUGGGUUCAGAACGUCGUGAGACAGUUCGGUCCCUAUCCGGCGUGGGCGUAGGAUAUUUGAGAGGAGCUGACCUUAGUACGAGAGGACCGGGUUGGACUGACCUCUGGUGCACCGGUUGUCAUGCCAAUGGCACAGCCGGGUAGCCAAGUCGGGAAGGGAUAAACGCUGAAGGCAUCUAAGCGUGAAGCCCCCCUCAAGAUGAGAUAUCCCCCGCAUAAGCGGUAAGACCCCUUGAAGACGACGAGGUAGAUAGGGCAGAGGUGGAAGUGCAGUAAUGUAUGGAGCUGACUGCUACUAAUAGGUCGAAGGCUUAAC